GCAGCAGGCUGAAAGCAAUGGUCGCAGCACCCCAGUGGAAGGAACCUGGUUCAAACUGAAAGACAUGCACAGACGUAUGAUGCACACUUAGUCAUUCACUGUUCAGUUCACUCAGUUCACGUCAAACUCUCUUUCUCCAUAAAAGUUGCCACAAGUAUUUGUACUUUCAGUCCUUAUUUUGGGAAGGUGGACGGGCUGAGCCCUUAAUCCCUUCCUGGCAGGCUACUACAACCAGUCUAAGUUUUUUCAUGCUCCAUAUCAAACCUUCACUGAGUAUUUGACAGCCAACAGUGAGGGGCUUCUCAUGUGACAGAAUCACAGAUCACAGAAUGGCCUGGGUUGGAAGGGACCUCAAGGAUCAUGAAUCUCCAACCCCCCUUUCUGGGCAGGGCCACCAACCUCCCCAUUUACUAGACCAGGUUGCCCAGGGCCCCAUCCAACCUGGCCUUGAACACCUCCAGGGACAGGGCAUCCACAACCUCUCUGGGCAGCCCGUUCCAGCUGCGUCCCAUUUCAUCAGCUCUCCACUGGGGCUCACUGCUGCUGCACUCAGACAGAGCACUGAGCAAGAACACUGCCUUGGGACAUUGAAAUCACCACAGACAUUAAACAGGCAACAGAGCUGAGGCAGACGGGCUGUAUCCCCGACCUCCCGUGCUGAUGUGCACCAUGCUGCCAAGGAGUGGAAAACUACCUGCUGAGUCACUGGAUGAUGCUGAACGUCUUCAACAGCAAGAAGUCAAAAAACCCAGCAGAGAACAGCUUCAGGUUGGGUGUUCUUGAAAUAAGAUGAGGUGGAAACAUAUGUUUGGGGCACAGAAAAUUUCCCAGCAAAGCAUCAUGUUCAUGACCAACCACCUGCUAAAAGGAGAUGCCUCUUCCUGCAGCUGCAGAUGAUGCUCCUUGUGCAGUGCAGCCAGCAGGACUGGUAUCUCAGUUAUCCGAAAAAUUACACCACAAAGUGACCCCUCUGCCACAACCGGCCUCCAAAAGGGAUGGCCAAGCGUCCACAGCACCACACAGCAGCAGUGAGAUUCUACCCAAGGGAUGGUCCCGACCCUCAGCACUGCCUGGCUGAGCACUGCGAGAUGCUGAAAGUUCAGACACUCCUCCAAUUCCAGUAGGAAUGACGGCAUCGGUCCCAGCACAGAGCUUACAGCCAGAAGGUAUUUCAAACCUCCACCCUGCGUUGUGUGUGUCAUUCCCUGUGCUGCUCCUCCAGGGCUCCUCCUGCCUUCGUGAUUCAGAAGCAAACAACUGCUAAUACUUCCUUUGGCUGCGUUUUUGCAUGCAACCACUGACACCCUUACAGAUUUCUCUAUUACAGACAGCAAACAAAUGAGACAGCGAGGCAGACCUGUCUGCAAAGCAGCGUGGUAACAAGAACCCUCUCUGGCUGCCAUGGCAAAACUGGGAAAUGGUGGACUGCUCUCUGCUCGCCCUCUGAAGACAUUAGAAAUGAUAAGGUUACAACAGAGCAGCUCACUGCAGAACAAGAGAUGGGCAGUGAGAGAGCCCAGCUCUCAGGACUUGACAGUGACGGAUGUCUUGCCAGGCAUCUUACAAAACCAACCAAGUGUGGAAUUAGACGUGGACAGCAUCGUGCAGCUGGCC
RNAcentral lists this long non-coding RNA (1614 nucleotides) under Gallus gallus (chicken). Its description in RNAcentral is "lncRNA (ENSGALG00010023982.1)". Lineage: Eukaryota; Metazoa; Chordata; Aves; Galliformes; Phasianidae. The record is from RNAcentral.